RNAcentral lists this ribosomal RNA (253 nucleotides) under uncultured bacterium. RNAcentral describes it as "partial 16S ribosomal RNA". It matches the Rfam family "Bacterial small subunit ribosomal RNA", at positions 524 to 776 of the family's 1533-position model. The record is from RNAcentral.
UACGUAGGGUGCAAGCGUUAAUCGGAAUUACUGGGCGUAAAGCGUGCGCAGGCGGUUUUGUAAGUCUGUCGUGAAAUCCCCGGGCUUAACCUGGGAAUGGCAUUUGUGACUGGAAGGCUAGAGUGUGUCAGAGGGGGGUAGAAUUCCACGUGUAGCAGUGAAAUGCGUAGAGAUGUGGAGGAAUACCGAUGGCGAAGGCAGCCCCCUGGGAUAACACUGACGCUCAUGCACGAAAGCGUGGGGAGCAAACAGG